GACUUAAUACUUUAAAUUAAAAGAUCUGAUUUGCAUUCAGAAAAUAAGUUGAAUUUACUUUUAGGUCA
Molecule: transfer RNA, 68 nt
Filed under: Calyptraea chinensis
Lineage: Eukaryota; Metazoa; Mollusca; Gastropoda; Littorinimorpha; Calyptraeidae
Description: tRNA-Ala
Source: RNAcentral